This 443-nucleotide ribosomal RNA is filed under the name uncultured bacterium. RNAcentral's name for it is "partial 16S ribosomal RNA". It matches the Rfam family "Bacterial small subunit ribosomal RNA", at positions 338 to 795 of the family's 1533-position model. The record is from RNAcentral.
CCUACGGGUGGCUGCAGUGGGGGAUAUUGGACAAUGGGGGGAACCCUGAUCCAGCGACGCCGCGUGCGUGAAGAAGUAUUUAGGUAUGUAAAGCUCUGUCAGCAGGGAAGAAAGCAAUGACGGUACCUUACCAAGAAGCCCCGGCUAACUACGUGCCAGCAGCCGCGGUAAUACGUAGGGGGCAAGCGUUAUUCGGAAUUACUGGGUGUACAGGGGGCGUAGACGGAGGUGCAAGUCAGAUGUGAAAGCCCGGGGCUCAACCCCGGGACUGCAUUUGGAACUGGGCUGCUAGAGUGUCGGGGAGGUAGGCGGAAUGCCUAGUGUAGCGGUGAAAUGCGUAGAUAUUAGGAGGAACACCAGUGGCGAAGGCGGCCUGCUGGACGAUGACUGACGUUGAGGCUCGAAAGCGUGGGGAGCAAACAGGAUUAGAUACCCCAGUAGUC